Non-coding RNA from Punctularia strigosozonata HHB-11173 SS5, 93 nucleotides. Lineage: Eukaryota; Fungi; Basidiomycota; Agaricomycetes; Corticiales; Punctulariaceae. The record is from the annotation of a RefSeq genome assembly.
UCCGAUAUGGUGUAGUGGCUAACAUUACCGCCUCUCAUGAGAUUCACUGAGUCACGUGCGCGGUAGCCCGGGGUUCAAUUCCCCGUGUCGGAA